This is a long non-coding RNA of Conger conger (European conger), 1145 nucleotides long. RefSeq lists it as uncharacterized. NCBI's taxonomy places the organism in Eukaryota, Metazoa, Chordata, Actinopteri, Anguilliformes, Congridae. The record is from RefSeq and is a predicted model, not a curated record. The transcript has 3 exons.
AGGCCGAAUAGUUGGGAAGUCUGAGCUCAGUCACUGCCCAUUUGUGCAAACUGAAAAUAUGCUUGAUCUUCUGAGACUAGUCCAGCUGCUAACAAAACAAACUUGUGUAAACUAAAAUAGUAACAACUUCUACUAGCUACAGUUGAUGGAAUUUGGUGAAAUCAGUCUCCCUUUGCUCCUAUAGUCAGGAUUCAUAGAUGAAGUACAGAUUCAGUCAAUUCUCUAAAUGCUACAAACAUCUGAUUUACCUCCAAACCUCAAGAAGGCUCAUAUUACAGUCUAUAGCAGCCACUGAAAGGAUGGCCUACACUCGGAAAUGAAGCGACAGUGGAGACCUGUCUGCACAUCUCCAGAACAAUGACUGCACUGUACAAUCUGCCAGGGAGAAGCCAAUGCCUACCAUGCUCUGCUCUCUCUCCCUGCUCACCAUGCCCCUUUUUGCUCACUGCUCUCUGCUCCCCCCUCGCCACUCCCUCUCUGCUCACUGCCUGCCAUUCUCUUUCCUCUGCACUUAAAUUCUCUCUGCUCAUCUCACUUUGUCUGUACAGCUCUGUUCACUCUCAUUCUUCCUGCCCCUCAGUGCAUUAUCCCUGCAUCCCUACCCCCUCAUUCAUUCUCUUUCCCUCAUUCAUUUUCCCUUUCCCCUCAUUCAUUAUCACUGUCCCCUCAUUCAUUCCCUAUCCUAAUUAAUUAUCCCUGUCUCUUCACUAAAUCUUCAUGCCUUCUAAUUCAUUCUCCCUGCCCCCUCAUUCAUUCUCCCUGCCCCUCAUUCAUUCUCCCUGCCCCUCGUUCAUUCUCACUGCCCCUUUCAUUCGUUCUUUGUACACCAUUCACUCUCUUCCCAGUCUCACCACCCCUUUUCACUUCCAGUCAGUCUGUUCCCUUGCUCUUCUCACUUUCAGCUCCUGGUUCAUCAUUUUUCUUCAGUCCUUUCCCCAAUUUCAUGCCCUCAGGCUUUUUGCCCAACGCUGCCACAGAUCCAUUCAUUCUGAAGCCAGGCCCCCAAAACAUUGACUGAUCCGCCACAAUGAAACCAGCCUGUCACUUCAUUGGCAUUUGGGAAAAUAAAGAAUAAUGUUGUUAUGCUCUUGAUAAUUUGCGCAUCUAUAGUCAUUGUAGAUGAGAGAUCAAGAACAAGACAAAGC